Long non-coding RNA from Oryzias javanicus (javanese ricefish), 1285 nucleotides. Lineage: Eukaryota; Metazoa; Chordata; Actinopteri; Beloniformes; Adrianichthyidae. The record is from Ensembl.
UGGGUGGGCUCCAGCAUCCCCCUGUCAAUGCUCAGGAAUUACUUUGUUUAAGCAUAUUUUUAGUCAAAAUUCUUCUAAGACUACCAAUCCAUUUGUCCCCUAAAUAGGAUGUUUUGAUUAGGGACAACAGGAUGUUCCUUUGUGGCUACCAGGCAAGGUGCACAGAAGAAAAGAGAUGUAAGUCAAACGGAACAUGCAGAGGGGAAGGAGUGGUUGCUGGUCGACACAGCUGGUUCCUGACAGAGGAAGCCCACAUGGAGGCCCAGGUCCUACUCACUGCUGUCAUCUGCUGCUAUCAACUCAAGCAGAAUUGCUCCCUGGCCUCCCCAGAGACUGAAGCCCUGCAACACCAGAAAAAAACACACACAUAAACUGUAACAUCCAGGCACCAGAUACACACUUCUCUUUUGAGCUGCAGAGGCAGGCAGGGCAGGAGGAGGGUUCAGCUGUGAGCACAACCCCUCAGACAGAGCCACAAGACAAGCUGACCUGCUGCUGACACUCACUCACACGCGCUGCUGACUGUUUCGGUCACACUUCGGAAAAGAGAGAGAACGGAAACGUCAACCAGACAAGUGGUGGAAAAAAGAAAAAUCCAGGAUUUCCCAGGAAUAACACAGCUGAAACCUGCAACAACCUUGGAAAUCAACCCGGAAUUCUUCUGUCUCUCUUCAACUUUGGAGACCCAAUUUUCAGUUAUUCCUUCUGGAAGUUCAAUGGCUCAAAUUAUAAGUUCCUGGGGCAUCAGCAGAUGUUUAUAAUGUAAAAUUAAGGAAAAAAAUAAGGAGGACUUGCUUGAAAUUUGUUGACAAAAGAACAAGCAGAGAGAAAACUUCCCACAAAUUUGGAGCUAAAGGUGAGGCUUCAGCAACCUUUGUGUCCACACCAACUGACUGCCGGUCCAAAAGUCUCCAGACAGGCCAAACAUGUCUGCUGAGGUCCACUUGGAACACCACAAGAGAGCUGACCUGACAGCCGGGUCAUCCUACACUCCAUCGCUGGCUGCGCGCGUUCCCACGGUCACGCUGAUCAGCCCCCGCGAGCUGAGGGAGAAACACGCUGCUCACAGAGUCCAGCCCAGGAGCCUGGACCUUCACCUGACAGCCAGCAGCCUCUACAGAUGCAGUGAAGCCUUUCUCGUCACUCAUCAUCCAGCCUCGGCCGCUGGAUCUAGCUGACCAGAGCAGAAGGUGAAAUCACUCAGAGCCGUCCCCUGUUUUCCUUCUCCUCCCAGCCUCCAGAGCUGCUCUGCUGCUGCUGGAAAAGCCUCCUUUCUUGUUUGUCA